Triticum dicoccoides is the source of this 5368-nucleotide long non-coding RNA. RefSeq lists it as uncharacterized. Lineage: Eukaryota; Viridiplantae; Streptophyta; Magnoliopsida; Poales; Poaceae. The transcript is spliced from 8 exons. The record is from RefSeq and is a predicted model, not a curated record.
CGAUGAGGUGGGGGCGGGCGGCUGGCUUGCCCCUUCGAGCACCCCAUUCGUCCUCUCCUCCCUUGUCUUCUCCACUCGACGCCGGCUCGCCUCCCCUUCGAUUUGCCGUCGUUCUCAGUUGUGUCGGUCGCGUCGCGUGGGAGUCGAUUUGCGGAUUGACGGAAGAGAGAGCACGGCGGAGGGCUUCUGAGAUGGCUGAGGGAUCUGUCUAGGGUUUGUGUGUCGAUCUAUUCUGCCUGGGGUCUUCUUGUCCUCUUGGGUUUUCCGACGCUGAGAUGGCUGAGGGCUCCGUCUAGGGUUUGAUUGCUGAUUCGUCGUGAUUGAGAUAUGUAUGUCGUGUGACAUGAUGGUUGAGCCCUACAAUGUCACUCUCUCGGUUCACCAGCUGGUGGGUAAUGCCGAGGAGUGCAUGGUGCUGGGCAACAGGGCCCUCACCUGUUUCCGCACCCUCAAGCUGACCACACCUAGCUUGUCGGCGGGAUGGUGCAAGGCGCAACUCCGACGUGGUUCCUCGCCGGUUGGAUGGCAUUCAGGUGCAACCCCGGUGCCCACUGAGUACUGCCUUGGUUACAACCUCCCUCAGUAAGCUCCAUCUUCCCCUGCUCUGCUUCGGCUACUAUAUGGGACAUGGCCAGGGCUAUGAUGAUCAUCCAGAAACAUGAGACGGAUCGAAACCUGAGCGUUCUCAGCGAUUUGGCACAUCCGGCUGUCCAUUUCGUUUGCUUGAUGUGAUUCCGACCGUCGGAUCAAGCCGUUGGAAGACCUCGUCCGUCGGAUCGAAUCCUGCCCCCCUAUAGCAUGGAUAAAUGAGCAGUUACCUCCCGGUAGUGCCACCGCACGUAAAACUGGGUGGCCGCUGGGGGCAUUUUGGUCAUUUCACAUGGGUGAAAAAAAUCCAAUCAUGGCAUAUGGGUGUGACCUGCCCGUCGCUCCUCGCACACAUAUGGGCGAUGAUGAUUAGCCGUGGCUGAAAUAAGUGUGCCUUUGAGCAAUCAAGGCACCUGUGGGUAUCAAGUUGGAUCCUCCCUCUCGUCUCUAGAAUCCUUUUUGGUCCUGUGAUACUUAUUGUUCUGUCCUUAGAUGGUCAUUCUUGUUGAGUGAUAACCAGGGCAGUUUCACUGUAUAAACAGAUUGGUCUGGUGAUAAGAGAUGAUGGGGGUAGAUUAUAUGAUCUAGGAAAGGCAAGUUUGAGCCCACUAUGCAUUGAACACUGAAUCCUUUUUAUUUGUAUUUAAAGGUGUUGCUUAUUUAUGCUCCAGUGUUUAUAGCCGUCUUAUGUAAAGAUUUCUUCUCUCUCAUACCUUUAUUUCAUAUAAGUUGUUCUUGAUCUUUUACUGUUUUUUGUUGGUCCUUGAUCUAAUGUGGUUAAGAUAAACUGUGGGAAAUAGUUCUGGAUUUGUUGUAUGGUAGUUUGCAACUGAAUUUGUGACUAUUUCGGAUACUGGCCCCAAUUAAGGUUAUCUUGAAAUCGUGGAUGCACACGUGGUUUGUGUUCUUUUAUCAUGGGGUAUCUGUUCUUUUGCACAUUGGUAGAAAGUUGGUUAUUGUCAGGUAAGUCCAUCUCCAUUAAUGCCCUCCCACAUAUUUCCUUUAUGAUGCUGGAUGUUAUUUGUUUCUGUGAGCACAUUUGACGUAGACCCAAAACCUACUACUAAAUGGUUCCAAUAAAUAAUGCAUAUGGACAUAGAACUCUUGAUCAACAUUUGUGAGAAGACUAAAAAGUGACCUAAUACUGUAUGCAAAUCACAGUCAUGCCAAUUUCAGUAUUGUCUAAAUUAAUCACGGUGAAACUACAUCUGCUGUUCUAGAUUCAAGUUGAGUCUUGACCUCUAUAAUUAUGUACUUGCUUUUCCUCUCCAUAAGUUUCUAGCAUUCUGAAUGUAUCCUAUUGGCACAUAAUUACAUCAAUUUUCCUUGCAAAUCAACUUAGAAAUCCAUUGCCCCCUCUACAAAAUCAACUUUCAAUGGAUCAUGCCCAUGCAUAACUUCAGUUUUGGCUGGAUUUUGGACCUGACAAACAUUAGUUGUAUAUGUGUAUUUAGGUAAAGAAAAGACAUGGUAUUCAAACUAUUCUGGUUUCUCUAUUAAAUCAAAGAUGACAACGACAUCGACAAACCUCUGUAUGCUCUGUACAUUUCCUCCUUUCGGGACAUCAAAGGAGGGUUCAAUUUGAGGUUUUCUUUUGGGGCUGAUUAUUUUUUGCUUAAUUUCAUCUUUGCCUCAAAAUGUUACUCUGUGAAUGAUACAUGCUAGAACCUGCCUGGGAAUGGAUAUAACAUAACAUUUUGCCUUUAGGGAAAUCUGUUUCACAUAUGUACAAGAACAUUGUUUUCCCUGAGGUCUAGGAUGUGGUGCUUGUGAAACACCCGUCGCUGUUGGUUCUAGGAUCAGUAUUGGCCUUCGCUUUUUGUGUCAUGUUUAUUUAGCUCUUGGUUGCUGGCGAAUGUAAUUGGAUACUUGACUAUCUUAUUUAGUCUGCCUGCUAUGGAUGUUGUUCCUCUAUGUUCAUGCCUUUAUUACUUCCUGCCUUGUAUUCACGCUUGUGAUGUCGAACUUCAUGUCAAGUAGCUGCGAUUUUAGUGUCAAACUUCAUGACAAGUGACAAUCUUUUGUGGUAUUAUAAAUGAUCUGAAAUCGAAGGUGAGCCUUGGCGCAGUGGUAAAGCUGCUGCCUUGUGACCAUGAGGUCAUGGGUUCAAGUCCUGGAAACAGCCUCUUACAGAAAUGUAGGGAAAGGCUGCGUACUAUAGACCCAAAGUGGUCGGACCCUUCCCUGGACCCUGCGCAAGCGGGAGCUACAUGCACCAGGUUGCCCUUUUUUUUUUAUAAAUGAUCUGAAAUCAAUUCUGCUUUCUAAUCUGUUACCAUCUUUGGGCAUCAAUAUAUCUUGCUCCUACAGUAGUUAAUUGUUUUUCCUUAGCUUUGUUGUUAUUCUAUUUGAAUGCAUAUGCUAGAUCUGGGCUACCACUAAUUUAUCAUUACAUGUUUGACCAAACGUUGGGACUGGCACCCCGCGCCAAGGCGCGAUCCCAAUGUGCUCACAGAAAUCCAUUUAAAUGGGAAAACACCUUGCGGCUUGGAUGUUUAUAGUGAGAUGUCAAGAAAUCUAGCUUCUAGAUUAUUAUAUACAUGUUUCCUAUUUUAUUCUAUUUGCGUAACACAAUAGGCAAGGAAUCUUUUAGUUCUUUGCAUCAACAUGUCUGUACCAUGUACUCCCUCAGUUCGAAAUUACUCGUCCAAGAAAUGAAUGUAUCUAGAUGUAUUUUAGUUCUAGAUACAUCCAUUUUUGUGACAAGUAAUUCCGAACGGAGGGAGUAUUUGAUUUUGUCUUGGUACACACAUGACUUGAUCAUGUGAAUGAUCAACACCAGUCACAUUAUGGUAGUUCUUUUACAAGUAACAGAAAUUAAUUAAUCCCUCCUCCUACUGUAUAGAGGUUGCCUCUACAAGCAACAGAAAUUAGCGAAUGCCUCCUCCUACUGUAUAGAGGUUGCCUUAACAUAUUCCCUCCUUAGUUUUCAGUGUCCUACUGUUACGGUUUAAUUUCCUUGGAGUUUCUUUGUGAUAGUCUAAUGGGCAGUCACUGUUUCUUCUAUGCAUGAAAGCACAAAUUGUGAAGGAAAUAAAAUGCAUGUGUGUGUGUGCGUGUGCGUGCAUGCGCACAUGUGUGUGUAUGUUCUGUUUACUCUCUUUUUUUCCCCUUUGAUUUCUCCACCAAACUGUUGGGUUCACUUGAAGGCAAGGAUGUUAUUGAUUUACUACAGCAGGAAUUUUUAUAGAAAAUAUAUAGUUUUUCUUAAUGACGAGGGCCCACCCUUAGAUUUCUGUUAUCAUAAAUAGGUGUCCUAUAGGAGAUACAAAGUAUAUAGCGUUUUUUUAGUUUUCGCUUUCUGUCUUUCAUUUUCAGUUGGUCUAUUAGUGUGGUGCUUAUUGUACUUCUUUUGGAAAGAAGGCCAGUAAGAAGAUGGCACCAUCCAUCUCAGUGCCAUUGAUUUUUUGUUUGGGUAAUUAAAAAUUCAGUAUACAUAGAGUAUUUUCUGUUUUUUGCCACUGAAAUCCAUGGUACUAAGCUAUUUGCUUAAUCUAUUAACAUCCAACAUACUUCAUAGGUUAGGCAAAUGCAACCUAUGCCUCAGCUAAUUGAUAUAUUAAACCUCCCUACCAUAAUCAGAACUGGCAUGAUGCAAAACUCACAUGCUGUAACCUGUUACAAAGGGGGGGGGGUAUAAUUUUGUUAUUUUGUACAUUUUGUUCUUUGGUUUUGAUCUAAAGGACCAAGUGGCACCUAGCUUUUCAUCGAUCUCUCUGUCAUUGUUCAUUAUCUAGAACCAUGCAUGAUAUUGCAUCUGGGCACUUAAAUCUCGGUUUUAGUUUUGUAGGUUGUGCAUAUCCAAGAUGGAAAUCAUCUUGCUCUAUCAUUUGGUGGGCUCAAUCCCGGCAGCAAUUUUUUGGUUGCUCUAUUAUGGGGCUGUUUUGAUUGAUACCAGACGCUAGAUUAUUGAAUCACUACUUUAGACAUGCACUUUGUGCCAUUUUGUGGUAAUGACUAAAUAUGUCUUGUUUGCCAUACUUUUGGUAUAUAUAUGCUGCCUUGCCCUUUGGCAAUGCUGUGUUUUGGUGUAAAUUUAUUGUCCUGGUCUAAUCCAUUCUGAGCAAUCACUUUAUUUCCCUUUGGAUGUGGAGCAACACUUGAUGUGGAGCUGCGCCGGAGCAGCGGAGCGGUGGAUCUGCGGCGGCGCCGUCGUCCUCAAGUUGUCAUCAUCCUCAUGAUUCCACGCUUGCUUCUCUUCUCUUCUCUGCUUAACAGUAGCAGUGCAGCUCUAGAGAAGUACUCCAUUAACAGUAGCGGAGAAGGAGCAGCCGCCAUGGAGUACUCCAGGAGUGGGUCAUGCCCAAAGGGACCACGCCCAGGAGAUGGUCGUGGGUCAAACUGCUGCGCCAUGGGGCUGGUGCUUGUGAUGUGCGACGGGGAGAAGCAGAGAUCUGGGAACGCAUGAAUGAUGGAUGCGCGAAGGAUGAGCGCUUGGGACCUAGAUAAUGGAUGUGUGGAUGAUGGAUUCUCCUGGGACCUGGGAGCGAUGGAGGAUGGGCGCCUGGGAGCGACGAGGAGAAGCAAUUUGAAAUACCGGGAUCAACGGAGGAAGAUGACUUUGGGGAUAGUGAUUCAAAACAGGGGUCGCGAUGUAAAUUCCUUCGUUUUCACUUGGCCAGAACAUUUUCAUCAAUGACAUAAUUCGGAACAGAGGGAGUAGUUUCAUGUCGGUAUUGAGAACCAUCGUGUCUCGCUCCUAUCACAAUUAAAUAUUUCUCCUUAACUGUAUUGUUAUCAUAUAUGAAUACACAUGAAAACCUGGAUUACUAUCGACUAA